This 69-nucleotide transfer RNA is filed under the name Peromyscus boylii (brush mouse). Its description in RNAcentral is "tRNA-Glu". It matches the Rfam family "tRNA". Rfam says of the family: Transfer RNA (tRNA) molecules are approximately 80 nucleotides in length. Their secondary structure includes four short double-helical elements and three loops (D, anti-codon, and T loops). The record is from RNAcentral. Lineage: Eukaryota; Metazoa; Chordata; Mammalia; Rodentia; Cricetidae.
GUUUCUAUAGUUGAAUUACAACGAUGAUUUUUCAUAUCAUUGGUCAUAGUUAGAGUCUAUGUAGGAAUU